Long non-coding RNA from Gasterosteus aculeatus aculeatus (three-spined stickleback), 2904 nucleotides. NCBI's taxonomy places the organism in Eukaryota, Metazoa, Chordata, Actinopteri, Perciformes, Gasterosteidae. The record is from Ensembl.
UUUGCUGGUUUACACAGGUGAAUUUUAAUACAAAAAAUUGGGUAGAAAAUGUUUUUUUUGGUUUUUUUUUAAGUUAAAACAAGUGUCACACAAUCACUUUCCUACUGUACAUACAACAGCAUCUAAACACAAACGGCUCACAGGCAGACAAACCAAAACAUUCAGAGGAAAAAGUGUUCUUUGUUCAGUUGAAAGACAACAGCGGGACGGCUGCUCAGUUUACCUUCCAUUCAGGGAGAAGAGAAUCUCAGAGGCGGACAUUCAUGGUCCAGCCCGAGAGCGAAAACAACGCAGGUAGAACCAUGAACGACCUCUUCCAUUAGAGUGGAUGCAAAGGCUCUAAAAAGGAUGGAGGUUCUGUCUUUGCUCUUUUUCUACAAAAAAAAAAAAGCAAUUCCUCUGACUUUAUGCAAAGUGGUGACAGCGCUUAGUCACAGGUUCAAAUCCCACCGUUAGACACUAGUUGCAUAGCCUCAAUUCUCCAGCCCCCAUUUCUACACGAGGCCAAAUGCCAAACAAAUAAAUUAAAGCAAAAGGCCCGUCCUCCUCGCCAUUCUUUCUGGGACCAAAUUCAUGAACCAAGUUAUGAAGCGUCCAGCUUCCAGGAAAGCGCGGCACGGGCUGUAAACCCUGGUUUGGAUCAGGGUUCAAAAGUGGUAAAAGUAACGGCGCUUCAGUCUGGUGCCACUCGUCCUUCCUGCAAACUAGCACCUGUCAGUCGGUUGUGCUGGUUUCGACCAGGCGGGAUGUUCUCAGGAAUGUUCCUUGGUUUAGCCGGCUCUGCAUUCCAUCAAAGCCUCCUCCACUUGCCCCCCCCUCUGUACCUUCUGUUACCCUGACCUGCAGGGUUGUGGUAACUGCCCAGCAGUCGAGGACCGGCCUGUUGGAGGCCCCAGACCCCAGACGUGGCACCUGUGGGGCCCAGGCCCCCCGGCCAGCGAGACACGGGCCCCAGGGGUCCACCUCCGAGGGAAGUCAGGGGGCCUUGAAAGGAAGGGUGGUUGGGGAAUUGCGGCGAGUGGGGGGUCUGCAGGAGGCCGGCGCCCCUUUGCUGCUGCUGGCUGUUGGGCAGUUGUUGCCGGGACGACUGACUCGGCUGAAGCUGCUGGUUGUUCAGCUGGUGAAGAUGUCGAGGAUGCUGGAUCUGUUGUAGACGGGGCAGAGCAGGAUUUGGGUCGUAUUAGCCGAUUGUGAUGGUUCAGGGUAUUUUCUCUCUUGAGAAAGCGAGGGCUAACAUAUUGGAGGAAUACAAGGGACUUUGGAUGAGAGGAUGGUAGAGACAAAAAUAGACAAAGACAUCUUUCAAUAGACCACGCGAUCUAUUUGGGUUUAAUUACCAACAUAAAAAGCAGGUACAAAAUAUACAAACACAAACAAUAUGCCUGCUCUUCACUGACUGAAACAGAUCCAAGUGAUGGAUCCGUUUCUUUGUCCGUCUUUUUCUUUUCUUCCGUUACUUCUCUUCGUAUACGGUGAGAGCUGAUGGGUUUCCACCCACGCUGAAGGGGAGGGUGUAUCAUAUAUGUGCUUCAAAUAAAGAAAAAUAAAUUCUCAGCAAUUUUAUACAAUGCUUUGUUUAAAAACUGAAAGUACGUAAGGAAUGUCAAGUUUCCUCAUUUCAGAGCAAAGCUCCGCUUCGGUUUCGUCAGUCGUUUUCCUUCCCCACUCACACACGGCGAACUGCCCUCUCGUCUCAUCUCUUCUCUUGCAUCCUGCGCCGGCGAUCAUCUGAGGACGUCUGGACGGUUGUUAGUGGGACACCAAGGAUGCACAACCUCGUCCCAUUCUUCGACUGGACCUCGCACCAAGGCCCUUCCUCGUGGUUAUAACAGGUAACUCCACAGGCCACCUGAUUCGGGCCCCUUUCCUUUGGCGGAGCCGUGCCGAUGAAGACAACAGUGCUGUUGGCCUUGAGUUCCAAAUACUGGUUGCCAGGCUUGAGAAAAGGCUGCUGGUCCGGUGUCCAUCCUGGUCUGGCAUAGGAAAUAUCCUUCCAGGCGUUGGAAUUCCAAAGAUAUCUUGACUGGAAUUUCCGCCCCUUGCGGUUGUACAGCUGCAGCCGCUGUGUGCAGCUCUUGGCCGAGGGUCGCGGAGCAGUCAGCCGGUUGCCCCGGUUGCCUGCCUCACCCUUGUUGUUGGUCAGGUCCGGUUGGGUCUGUGGAACCUUGGUGCCACUGGCAGUGCUGUUGCCAGGUGCUGCUCCCUCUCCACCUAUUGGCUGUUCUUGGCCCAACUGUGUCUCCCUGAAGGAAGGAAACAAGAAGAACUUCAGCCGCACGUGACAAACUGACAAAGCAAACGUUGACUCUUCUUCCACCUCCUCCUUCUCCUCUGCUUGAUUUUGAUGGGCAGCAUCCGGAAAAUGUAUCUUGUACCAACGAAAGUUGGUUCUGACAGUUGGGAGUUGGUUUUUCCUAAUAUCUAUGGGGAACAGAUCCACAUCUGCUUCCCCGAACAGCCAGAAGAUGUUGUUACUGGUGUGAUGGACGACCCUUCAAAGCGGCAAGUCGGCAGCGCGGUUGUGUAACCCCCACCUCUCCAUGUACAUUUGAUUGAGCCGCGCCAAACAGAAGGCACAAUGACAGCCGCUGCCAUGUCGUCUGAGCCCACAUGGCAUUUCUUAAGUGGAGGUGAAUUAAGCACGAGGGCCACUCAAAAUAACUUAUGUGAAGGGAUGGGGGAUUCUUCCAUUCCACACCUACCAGUCUACCUCCAGCAGCAAGUAUUGGGUCGUCUAAACAGGACAAACCCACGCUGCUUCAUAAUGCACCUCCCGAGCAGUCCAAAACCAGCCACAUUCAGCGUACUUGGUGAGAGGGAAUAGUGAAAACACUUCAUCCUCCACUUGUGGGAAAUUACUUCUUUCUCUGAAAGGUCCAUUUGUGCCUGACAUGGCAUUUCCAC